AGCCCUCUGGUGAGUACCACAGGCUGUGUUCUUACACUGACUGUACAGAAAGAGGAGGCAUAGUAAAUCUACCCAUAUACACCAAAGCCCAGGAGCUUUGUCUGGUUUGUAUUGUGAAUGGGGGCAUGG
This is a small nucleolar RNA of Hyaena hyaena (striped hyena), 129 nucleotides long. RefSeq annotates it as small nucleolar RNA SNORA51. The transcript has a single exon. NCBI's taxonomy places the organism in Eukaryota, Metazoa, Chordata, Mammalia, Carnivora, Hyaenidae. The record is from RefSeq and is a predicted model, not a curated record.